This is a long non-coding RNA of Ficedula albicollis (Collared flycatcher), 1511 nucleotides long. RefSeq lists it as uncharacterized. Lineage: Eukaryota; Metazoa; Chordata; Aves; Passeriformes; Muscicapidae. The record is from RefSeq and is a predicted model, not a curated record. The transcript has 2 exons.
AAUACAUCUUCAAAGAAUUUCAAAUUUCCACAAGAUAUUUUUCACACACAGGCAACUGGGCAACGCUGGGGAUGUCAGGGCUCAAGGAGCAGGGCAGAACUGGGAGUAAAAAUCUUGAAGUGACCUUCUGUUUUGUCUUUGGUGAUUUUGGUUUGAAAGACAGGGUGCCACAUUCUCCUCUCUGACACACCAAUGCACACUUGCUAAGCAUGUGGGGGUGAACCUGGUCAAAGUGAGAAUUAUCUGAACCAGGGAGAUCUAACUGACUUUGGAAAUGGGACAAUAUCAUCUGCUGACAUGGCUUGGGCUGACCUGAAAGUGCAGCAAGCCCGUGCCAGUAUUUCACAUCUGUUUUAAUUUGCAGCUGACUGAGGGGGAUGGGAUUCCACAUCCCAAACCAGAUGCACUGCAACACCAGUGCUGUGUGAUGAGGAGGCUCACGGUGAAAGCACCCUGGCCCUGGAAGCCCCUCUCCAGGGACCUUUCAAUGGCACUGCCUUCCAGGUGGCAGGAGCUUCCCAGGUCCAUUCUGGUCCUGUGGGGCAGGCACAGCUCCCUGCUCCCAAAAACCUUGUGGGAGCCAGGCCCAUGUACAGUGGUGUCCUGAGCACCCACCACACCUAAUGUGCUCACCAUGGCACAUCACCCUGGGCUUUUCUGCACUCCCUGCUUGUUUUAGACACUUGCUGCUGCAGCUGAGAGGAUCCCACUGAGAUCUGCUGUGAAACCAGCACGGGGAACUGAAACUGGCUGCAUGAAUUAAGGCAAGGAGGGGGAUAGAGUGACACCCCCAUCGACAGGCAUCCCCUGGGGAUAGGGUUAUGCUGCAACAGGGGCCAACACCACUUCAGCACAGUUUGUAUUUCUACUUUUUUCCCAGAACAAAAGGCAGCUCAAGACUGCAGGGAAGUUAACAGAGCUACUCUUCUUGAUUCAUUUUAUGCAAUAUUAAAGGGCAAAGGAGGGAUGGGCACUAGCAAGUUUAGAAGGGGGGACGGAAUCUGAUCACUCAUUACAGAUGGACACAAACAAGAUGGAGAACCUUGCUCACUGGAGGUACUUUUUUUGCCUGCAAACAGAUUAGGGUUAACAAUUUAAACCACUUUUGCAUGUCAUCAUUCAGUAAUUUAUAUAAGGCAUUUCCACUACAAUACGCUGGGCCAUUCAAUGGAGGCUGUGGAGGCUCCUCCUUGCCUCCCCAGUUAAAGCAGCAGCAAGAGCUGGGCCCCCAGGUGCACUGGCUGGGCUUGGCUUGCUAGAUGUUACUGGUGCUCUAAGAAGCAGAACAUUAGCAAACGCAAAACUGACAUUCUAGAAAGUCAAUGGGCAAUUUUUAUGAUUCAGCAGCUAUGGAUUGGGCAGAAGGAAAAAAAACCAAACCCAGAAAGGGGAACUAUACUUGUCCCUUGAACAUUUCUAGCAGAAAGACAAGGAGGAGCCCUCUCCCCCUUCCCCAUGUAAAAGCAAAACCAUCAGCACCCAGAGCGAGGAUACUUAUUAAAUAAAUAAAC